CACAGUUGCCUGGUUAUGUAAUAAAAAGAAAUCCCUCAGUUAUCAUGUGACUGGUUGGUAUCUCCACUGACACCACUGAAGUUCUACUGAUUUCAGCAGAGCUACUCUAGAUUUACCUCAGUGUAAAUGGGAGGAGAAAUGGGCCCAAAUGCUUCAGAAAACACCAGGGUGUCCCUGGAGCUGCACUAGCUGCAGCUCCCUGCACCUCUCACAGAUUAAAAACUCAAAUCUGUGGACAAAUAGCUGCAAAAAGGCUUGGGAGAAACCAGCCUCUGAGCCUCUUCCCUCUCGCAGCAAUAUCCCCAAGGGGAGUCGGCAGCAGCAUCGUGCCUCUUCCCUGCUCCCUAAUCAAAGGCAGGAGCUGAUCUAAACAGGCUGGAUUUGCAAGUGCCUCCUCCCUGGGAACAGAAUUCUGAAGCUUGCAACACAGACUGGAAAGGCAGCUCAAGUCCUUUUAGACAAUGAACAACAGUGGAGGGGACUGUAUCCACGAAAU
RNAcentral lists this long non-coding RNA (496 nucleotides) under Apteryx rowi (Okarito brown kiwi). Its description in RNAcentral is "lncRNA (ENSARWG00000013364.1)". Lineage: Eukaryota; Metazoa; Chordata; Aves; Apterygiformes; Apterygidae. The record is from RNAcentral.